This 417-nucleotide ribosomal RNA is filed under the name uncultured bacterium. RNAcentral describes it as "bacterial SSU rRNA". It matches the Rfam family "Bacterial small subunit ribosomal RNA", at positions 770 to 1187 of the family's 1533-position model. The record is from RNAcentral.
UAACCGGAUUAGAUACCCUGGUAGUCCACGCCGUAAACGAUGUCGACUUGGAGGUUGUGCCCUUGAGGCGUGGCUUCCGGAGCUAACGCGUUAAGUCGACCGCCUGGGGAGUACGGCCGCAAGGUUAAAACUCAAAUGAAUUGACGGGGGCCCGCACAAGCGGUGGAGCAUGUGGUUUAAUUCGAUGCAACGCGAAGAACCUUACCUGGUCUUGACAUCCACAGAACUUUCCAGAGAUGGAUUGGUGCCUUCGGGAACUGUGAGACAGGUGCUGCAUGGCUGUCGUCAGCUCGUGUUGUGAAAUGUUGGGUUAAGUCCCGCAACGAGCGCAACCCUUAUCCUUUGUUGCCAGCGGUCCGGCCGGGAACUCAAAGGAGACUGCCAGUGAUAAACUGGAGGAAGGUGGGGAUGACGUAA